ACCGCGCCCGUGCGUCUGCGCGCCUGGCCGCCAGGUGACCCAGCAGCCCGGCCGCCGAGAUGCCCAACCCGCCCAGGCUCCGGGCGCUGUGACUUCGCGCCGCUGUGUGCGCCUCCCCGAGCGCCGGCUGCGCCCCCCAGCCCGGCCCGGGGCCUACCGCCUGCCCGGCCCCCUGCCACUGCCAGGAGGACGGCAUCAUGCUGUCUGCCGACUGCUCUUGAGCUUGGGCUGUCCGCCAUACCGGGGGACCUGGAUCCCCUGACGGCUUACCUGUGAGUACUGCCCGCCUGUCUCCACCUGGUACUGCGGGCUGCUGGCUUGCACCCAGUCCUGGCCUCAGCAGGACACCUGCUUGCUUGGUGCCCUGGGGCGUGGGCAUCCCGGAGAGGGUUCACCCCCUUCCAAGUUGACCGUUGCGGGACUGGGGAGGGGAGAAGAGUCUGAGACUAAAUAUCAGGCGAGCAGGGAGACCAGGCUUCCCUGACUUGGCUUCCCCAUUGGCCUCCGUGCUUGUGGGCUGACUGCGGGAGCCCAGGUUUGGCAAGGUGGGUUCUGGACCCUAAGCGGGAGGGCGCGGGGCUGGCUCCCCCAUCUCCUGUUGCUGCAUUCUCUUCCAGCAGAGCAGUGCCCAGGAUGGUGGCUGAGGGUAAAGCUGACAGAACUGGAGGUGGAGGUGAGGGGAGCGUGCCCCAGUGGGGUGGAAAUAAUGUCUGUUCUUCUGCCAUGGUGAGGACAACAGGGCUGUCACACUGAGGCUGGGUGGCCUUCUUUGGGGGGGGGGUCCCAGAAGCUGGGAGGGGGGCCUUAUCCACUCUUGUCUCCUCAGAAAGGGACUCUGCCAGCACCAUCUCCCUUUACUGGGGCCUCCCGGCUCCCCCAGGGGCCUCCCUAAAGUCAUGUCCCAAGAGGCUGUGUUGGAGACACUAAUUUGUGGGCAGGCGCGGAGGCUGAAAAGCGGAGAACCAUUUUUAGCGUCUGAGUUGGGGUGAGAUGGCCCGUGAAGGGGACCCUAUUGGGGGCAGCUGUCCUGUCCGUCUGGCUCACAGGAGCUUCCCCUCAGAGCUGGAGGGCUGGGGGCUCUCGCUGCUUACCACAUGGGCAGGAGGAGGGUGAGAGAGCACAUUCCAGGCCACCUACCCGCACCCCCAGCCCCGCUCUGGGGAAAGGAGACCUCCUCCAGCCCAGCUCUGCAGGCUCCAUCAACUUCCUCAGAGGAGCUGGGAGCAGGUGGGAAAGCCUGGGGCCUUCUGCUGAGGGCUAGGAUCCCAGAGCUCCUUCUGGCCUGAGAGAGACCCCUCAUGGCUUCUAGCAUGUGGGAGUUCUAGCACGUGGGAGCUUAGAGGAAGAGGACGCUGGGCGAAUCUUUAUAGGGGCCUAGCAAGAAUUUGUGGAACUAAAAGGAUGCUCAGUGUUGGCAGUGUCCUGGUGGGAGGCAGAGGGUCCCAGAUGGCAACUCUUCAUGGGGCUCCUCUCCAAAUGUCCCUGUCCCUAGGUUGGGAUGUCCUCCUCCACUCCAAAAGGCACAGGCUGUGGGCCAGGUAAGGGAGUGAGAAGAGAAAAAUAAUGCCCAUCUUCUAGAAGGACAAAUGGAAUCCUUCACAGUGCAGCAGGUGACGGCGGAGGCAGUCAUGGGAAUAAAGCUACCAACUGCACAGAGGCUGGGUGCUCAGCAUCUGGCAAAGCAGGGCAGGCUCCGGCCCCAGCCCACACCCAGGCCAGCCCUGCUUUCAGCAGUUUUCUAUCCUGGGAGUAUGUGACAUUGGUUCAUUGGAAGACAGGGUCCUGUGGCUAAAGAGUUUAGAUAUGACUUCUGUGGAGCCUUUCUCUGGGUGAGCUGAAGGAAGGUCCCUUGCCUGGGUUGAAGGGGCAGGGGAGAUAAGGCCUUCCAGAGCUUCCUUUCCCAGUGUUAAGUCUUCCUAGACUGAUUAAUGAUCCUUUUUCUAGAAGGACCUGGGGUAGGAGGUACACUGUCACCUUUGGAAUUCAAGCAUCCUACCAUCCAUGCUGGCAGAAGAUUUUCCCACUAACUUGUCACAAUUCCCUGGGAGCUGUGAAGUCUGCAUUUGGGUUCAGUGGAGGUGGGGUUUUCUGAGCUGGUCUGUGUCUUCCUGGGGAUUGAGAAAGCCCCCCUCUCUCUCAAGACUCAGGGGAUGCUUCUGAGAAUGGCGGAGAGAAGAGAGGGAGUGGGAGCUAGAAAGAGUACGAUGGGUCCUGAGGCAAUGUGGGGAAUUUAGCAGUGGGGUCUGGAAUAUUGGAAGGAGGUAGCAGAGGACCGUGUUCCCUGCCCUGGGCUGGGGAGGGGUCCCAUCAGGAUGGUGCAUGAGGGAUAUCUACAGUUGUCCUGAGGGUGUCUCAGAGGAGGAAUUUUCUUUCUUUGCCCUCUCUGGAGAACAGCUCUACCACAAAGGCACCUGAAGGUGGGGUUGAGGGCUGGCAUGGAGAAGAGCCAGGGUGGGGAAGUCUUGGGGCUCCUUUCUCUUUUCAGCGAUGUUAGGAGGUGCCCACCUUGGCCCUGCCCCAUGUAUCCCAGCCCUUGCUGAGGACAGCACAGAUUCGCAUCUGAUGAUAUAACCAGCAGUGCCUCUCUCUGGGCCACUCAAACCUUGGUUCCUUCCUAGCUCUGCCACCUACUGAGAGUCACUCACUGAACACCUCUAAGCCUCAGGUUCUUGAUGUGUACAUGGAGAGGAGGAAGCAUGUUGCUGAGAGGAUUAAAUGAGAUAAUAUGUUCAGUGAAAGUCCCCACAGUGCCUGACACCCGAGGGUGACUCUGAAAUGGUGGCUAGUAUUAUCAUGCCUCCUGUGGGUGCUCCGUGGAGGUGGAGGUAAACUACCAGGCCUCUCCACACCAGAGGGAAAUUGAGCCUAGUGGGUGAGUGUAGAAUUCAAGGGAAUUGUUUGUGGCUGGAGGAAGAGAGCUGUGUGCUUGGGGAGGUGACUGUCAGGGCAACUCUUGAUCAAUACUUGGCUGGUUCUGGGGACUUGGAGCCCAACCAGUUGGUGCAAAUUGGGGGUUGGGGAUCGGGAGGGAAGGUGGGGACUUAGAUCCUCCUGACACAGAGUUGAGAAUGAAAAAUGUUAAAACACUUGGAUAUGCAGGAAGUAGCAGGCCAGAGAGGACUCGAAGAUCCUUAGAAGGAGCCAUAGACGGAACCAUAGGAGGCGCCCAGGAGCUAUGGGCUCCAGAAGUUUCCUCCUAAACUGUGGUCUCAGCGAGGCUCAUUGACACUCACCGGGGUUUCGACAUUCUCCCUGGCUAGGGCCUGUUCUGGAAAUAGACCAAGGGGGAGAUGGAGCCCCUGGCCGUGGGACAUCCAAUCUGAUGGUGAUGAGAAGGCUGCUCAGGACCGAGGCUGAGACGGGCGACCAGGACGGGAUUGUAUGGCUGCAGGAGGCUACACAGUCCCAGGAGGCUGCUUCUAAGAGGCCCACGUGGCCUGCAUGGGGAUGCGCCUGGCUGUCCAGCAUGUGGUCAUUUGAAUUGUACAUGUUUCACUGGGAUGCCUACAGAAAAGUAGACAGAAGAUGUGGAAAAAGUUUUUGAAAUGUUGCAAACUUAGCUACUUUUAAAAUAAAAAAAAUAGCUUUAUAAUUAUAAAAGCAAUAUGUAAAUCUUAAAAUAAUUUGCUACAUUCUAGUAAGCAUCUUAUGAUCUCUAUGUGCCCUAUAACAUUAUGUUGUAUAGUUUAAAUAUAUACAAUAAAAUCUAUUUUAAAAAAUAGCAGGCAAUUAAAUCUCAUUUUAAAAAGAGUCAGUUUAACUCCCUUCUAAUUUCUACCCCUCGUUUUCCCUCUGUGUGUGUGUAUGUGUGUAUGUCAUCUUCGUUAAAUGGCUCAAUGCAUUCCGAAUAUUUUUUCCGUUGUCUUCAUGAUAUAUUCAUGGGAAGGGGAGUAUGUGGCUUAUUGCUGUUAGUUUAUCAAUAGAGAAUGCUGGCCAAAUGUCUUUAAGAGUAAUGACGAUCUCAAUAGCGGUAAUGACAGCUACCACUUUCGGAGCUCCUCCUGCCUACCAGGCACCACUGGGGUCCCUCUCUGCAGCCCCUCACGCCAUCCUCCUAGUCACUUUCUGAGGUGUGUGUGGUCAUCCUCCCAUUUGCAGGAGGGCUCUGAAGCACAGGAAGGUUCGAUACUUACCCCAUGGCCGGGAUAAGAUGGGCCAGGGCCAGGCUGUGAACUAAGGCAGAGAAGGGGCUCUCCAGCACCUUUCCUGAGCCCUUGCCUCCUCUGCCUCUGCCCCAUGGCCAUCUGGUGGGUGGACACAGCUAAGCCAUGGCUAGAACCCAGCAUUCUCAUGACUGCUUUAACCAUAGAAAAUCACAAGUUGCAAGCAACGGGACACACAUUUACUUGUCUACAUUAGCACUUGUGAUGAAGAUAAUUCAUGCUAUUUUUUUCCCCAUUCGGAACGUACCUGUCCUUAGAAUAGUUAGAGAAGUUUUAUGAGGAUUGUGUAACUAGCAUUAACUUAGGUCACCUAAUUCUUGAUCAACCAAAUCGCAGGUCAAACAAAGGAGGCCUAUGCCUUCAUAGAAAGCAUCAGUUAAUGUCCAUUUAAAAACUGAUGCUGGCCGGGCCCGGUGGCUCAUGCCUGUAAUCCCAGCACUUUGGGAGGCCGAGGCGGGUGGAUCACGAGCUCAGGAGAUCGAGACCAUCCUGGCUAACACGGUGAAAACCCAUCUCUAUUAAAAAUACAAAAAUUAGCUGGGCGUGGUGGCACAUGCCUGUAAUCCCAGCUACUUGGGAGGCUGAAGCAGGGAGAAUUGCUUGAACUCUGGAGGUGAAGGUUACAGUGAACCAAGAUCGUGUCAUUUCACUACAGCCUGGGUGACAGAGCGAAAGUCUGUCUCAAAAAAAAAAAACAAACAAACUGAUGUUGCAUCUUCCAGUCUAAAAUAAAAAUACAUUGUUAACCAUUUUUAUGUUUACAAAACCUACAGUUUUAUAGUUCUAAAAGUAGUACAUGUUCAUUACUU
RNAcentral lists this long non-coding RNA (4972 nucleotides) under Homo sapiens (human). RNAcentral's name for it is "non-protein coding lnc-CENPP-20:21". The record is from RNAcentral. Lineage: Eukaryota; Metazoa; Chordata; Mammalia; Primates; Hominidae.